RNAcentral lists this unclassified non-coding RNA (1084 nucleotides) under Leishmania donovani. RNAcentral describes it as "gene:unknown". Lineage: Eukaryota; Euglenozoa; Kinetoplastea; Trypanosomatida; Trypanosomatidae. The record is from RNAcentral.
UCCGGCUCUCCCCUCUCUCUCUUUCUCACGCACACCCCACCUCAUCCUCUCCCCUGACGGUGCCAACUCUUUCUGUCUCCCGCCGUCACAGCCUCCGCCUCGUUCUCACUUUCACCACUUCGCUGCAUCGGCGUCGGUGGCGUGGCGCUUUUCUCAGGCAGGCGGACAUACCGCAGAAUGAACCCUUCCUCCCUCGCCAAGGAAGAGCACGCGCGCUCGCAUACACACACACACACACACAAUGCAAAAUGGGGAGGCUGAGAUUGAGGGGCUCAACGGAAGUGCGUGUGCGUGCAUCGUAGGAACAGAGUGGGCUUACUUGCCUGUAUGUCUGUGCAUGUGAGCUCCCCUCCUCCUGGCCUGCAUCUACUACGUCCUCCCGCCAUCCCUGCUUCCUCCCGUGAUGGCGGUAUCUUGAAUGUGCGAGCUUUUCUGCCGCUGGGAGUGAGUAAGGAAGGGGUGGGGAUAGUUGGCCGGCGUUUUCUUCUUGGAGAAGAAGGUAGCGCAGACAUGUGAUACGGCACGUCUUAAUUUUUCCGACACUCACGCCUUCGCCGACUGUGCGGUUUGCAUAGGCACAGGCACAGACACGGGUGCAUAAAGGCGUUCGUUUUCGACGCAUCGCGAGAGGAUGAUGGAUGUGCUUGUGGGUUUGUGCCGCCAUAUUUGUGUCUUCGUCCCACUCCCCCUCACCACUUGCCCCAUUCUCGCCAUCUGGAUGUGCGUGCGUGAGUGGGGGGGAGGGAGAAGCGGCAGCAUGCUGUGUACGCGUGUAUGUUUUCGUGUCUGCGUAUGGGGUGACCGAGGUCGUACGUCAACAUCUGCAGAAAGCUAAGCUUAGCACGAAGAAAACGAAUGAUGUGCGCUGCUCGCGUGCACAUUCGGCAGCAGCACGGAGUAUGAGCAGCAACGGUACAGUGUGCAUGUGUGUGUGUGGACUCAUGAUGGACACAACAAGACACGCCCAUGCACGCGGUGAAGGAGCACGAGAAGCGGCGAGGAAGGGCAGACGGGGAAGGAGGCGAAAACUAUCUUGCCUCUUUCGUUCUGAGUUUUUUUUUUGUCGCCUCCUCUGCCGUCUGAC